ACGUAGGGUGCGAGCGUUGUCCGGAAUUAUUGGGCGUAAAGAGCUUGUAGGUGGUUUGUCGCGUCUGCUGUGAAAAUCCGAGGCUCAACCUCGGACUUGCAGUGGGUACGGGCAGACUAGAGUGUGGUAGGGGAGACUGGAAUUCCUGGUGUAGCGGUGGAAUGCGCAGAUAUCAGGAGGAACACCGGUGGCGAAGGCGGCAUCCUGGACCGGCAUUGACGCUGAGGAGCGAAAGCCAGGGGAGCAAACGGGA
This 253-nucleotide ribosomal RNA is filed under the name uncultured prokaryote. RNAcentral's name for it is "partial 16S ribosomal RNA". It matches the Rfam family "Bacterial small subunit ribosomal RNA", at positions 525 to 777 of the family's 1533-position model. The record is from RNAcentral.